This 531-nucleotide ribosomal RNA is filed under the name Bifidobacterium longum subsp. suillum. RNAcentral describes it as "bacterial SSU rRNA". It matches the Rfam family "Bacterial small subunit ribosomal RNA", at positions 164 to 709 of the family's 1533-position model. Lineage: Bacteria; Bacillati; Actinomycetota; Actinomycetes; Bifidobacteriales; Bifidobacteriaceae. The record is from RNAcentral.
UAAUGCCGGAUGCUCCAGUUGAUCGCAUGGUCUUCUGGGAAAGCUUUCGCGGUAUGGGAUGGGGUCGCGUCCUAUCAGCUUGACGGCGGGGUAACGGCCCACCGUGGCUUCGACGGGUAGCCGGCCUGAGAGGGCGACCGGCCACAUUGGGACUGAGAUACGGCCCAGACUCCUACGGGAGGCAGCAGUGGGGAAUAUUGCACAAUGGGCGCAAGCCUGAUGCAGCGACGCCGCGUGAGGGAUGGAGGCCUUCGGGUUGUAAACCUCUUUUAUCGGGGAGCAAGCGAGAGUGAGUUUACCCGUUGAAUAAGCACCGGCUAACUACGUGCCAGCAGCCGCGGUAAUACGUAGGGUGCAAGCGUUAUCCGGAAUUAUUGGGCGUAAAGGGCUCGUAGGCGGUUCGUCGCGUCCGGUGUGAAAGUCCAUCGCUUAACGGUGGAUCCGCGCCGGGUACGGGCGGGCUUGAGUGCGGUAGGGGAGACUGGAAUUCCCGGUGUAACGGUGGAAUGUGUAGAUAUCGAAAAAAAACAC